ACGGUGCUACGUGGCGAUUUGUUACCGGAUUGCGGGCCACGCUAAACAACACCGCUAAAAGGUCAGGAUGAAAGGCCC
Ruegeria meonggei is the source of this 78-nucleotide non-coding RNA. NCBI's taxonomy places the organism in Bacteria, Pseudomonadati, Pseudomonadota, Alphaproteobacteria, Rhodobacterales, Roseobacteraceae. The record is from Rfam.